UACGGGGGGAGCAAGCGUUGUUCGGAUUUACUGGGCGUAAAGGGCGCGUAGGCGGCCAGCACAAGUCAGUUGUGAAAUCUCCGGGCUUAACUCGGAAAGGUCAACUGAUACUGUGCGACUAGAGUGCAGAAGGGGCAACUGGAAUUCUCGGUGUAGCGGUGAAAUGCGCAGAUAUCAGGAGGAACACCGGUGGCGAAGGCGGAUCUCUGGGCCUUACCUGACGCUGAGGCGCGAAAGCUAGGGGAGCGAACAGG
Molecule: ribosomal RNA, 254 nt
Filed under: uncultured bacterium
Lineage: Bacteria
Description: partial 16S ribosomal RNA
Rfam family: Bacterial small subunit ribosomal RNA
Source: RNAcentral